AAAGCCUACGGGAGGCAGCAGUGAGGGAUAUUGGUCAAUGGGGGAAACCCUGAACCAGCAACGCCGCGUGAGGGAAGACGGUUUUCGGAUUGUAAACCUCUGUCCUCUGUGAAGAUAAUGACGGUACCUGACUAAGAAGCCCCGGCUAACUACGUGCCAGCAGCCGCGGUAAUACGUAGGGGGCAAGCGUUAUCCGGAUUUACUGGGUGUAAAGGGUGCGUAGGUGGCAGGGCAAGUCAGAUGUGAAAGCCCGGGGCUCAACCCCGGUACUGCAUUUGAAACUGUCCAGCUGGAGUGCAGGAGAG
This 305-nucleotide ribosomal RNA is filed under the name uncultured bacterium. RNAcentral's name for it is "bacterial SSU rRNA". It matches the Rfam family "Bacterial small subunit ribosomal RNA", at positions 334 to 656 of the family's 1533-position model. The record is from RNAcentral.